CCAUUAGAUGUCCUGGGCCGCACGCGCGUUACACUGAUGCAUUCAACGAGCUUAUAACCUUGGCCGAGAGGCCUGGGCAAUCUUGUUAACGUGCAUCGUGAUGGGGAUAGAUUAUUGAAAUUAUUAAUCUUGAACGAGGAAUUCCUAGUAAACGCAGAUCAUCAAUCUGCAUUGAUUACGUCCCUGCCCUUUGUACACACCGCCCGUCGCACCUACCGAUUGGAUGGUCCGGUGAAGCCUCGGGAUUGUGGUUCUUGCCGCUUUAUUGUGGCGUGACCGCGAGAACUUGUCUAAACCUUAUCAUCUAGAGGAAGGUGAAGUCGUAACA
RNAcentral lists this ribosomal RNA (328 nucleotides) under uncultured eukaryote. Its description in RNAcentral is "partial 18S ribosomal RNA". It matches the Rfam family "Eukaryotic small subunit ribosomal RNA", at positions 1470 to 1796 of the family's 1831-position model. The record is from RNAcentral.